UCGUGCAUUAACAGUUGGCGC
This 21-nucleotide non-coding RNA is filed under the name Arabidopsis thaliana (thale cress). The record is from RNAcentral. Lineage: Eukaryota; Viridiplantae; Streptophyta; Magnoliopsida; Brassicales; Brassicaceae.